UACGUAGGGUGCAAGCGUUGUCCGGAAUCAUUGGGCGUAAAGCGCGCGUAGGUGGCUUCGUAAGUCCGUUGUGAAAGUCAAAGGCUCAACCUUUGAAAGCCGAUGGAUACUGCGGAGCUAGAGUACGGAAGAGGCGAGUGGAAUUCCUGGUGUAGCGGUGGAAUGCGCAGAUAUCAGGAGGAACACCGAUGGCGAAGGCAGGUCUCUGGGCCGAUACUGACGCUGAGGAGCGAAAGCGUGGGGAGCGAACAGG
This 253-nucleotide ribosomal RNA is filed under the name uncultured bacterium. RNAcentral describes it as "partial 16S ribosomal RNA". It matches the Rfam family "Bacterial small subunit ribosomal RNA", at positions 524 to 776 of the family's 1533-position model. The record is from RNAcentral.